This 2216-nucleotide ribosomal RNA is filed under the name Salmonella enterica subsp. enterica serovar Kinondoni. RNAcentral's name for it is "partial 23S ribosomal RNA". It matches the Rfam family "Bacterial large subunit ribosomal RNA", at positions 1 to 2157 of the family's 2925-position model. The record is from RNAcentral. Lineage: Bacteria; Pseudomonadati; Pseudomonadota; Gammaproteobacteria; Enterobacterales; Enterobacteriaceae.
GGUUAAGCGACUAAGCGUACACGGUGGAUGCCCUGGCAGUCAGAGGCGAUGAAGGGCGUGCUAAUCUGCGAUAAGCGCCGGUAAGGUGAUAUGAACCGUUAUAACCGGCGAUACCCGAAUGGGGAAACCCAGUGUGAUUCGUCACACUAUCAUUAACUGAAUCCAUAGGUUAAUGAGGCGAACCGGGGGAACUGAAACAUCUAAGUACCCCGAGGAAAAGAAAUCAACCGAGAUUCCCCCAGUAGCGGCGAGCGAACGGGGAGGAGCCCAGAGCCUGAAUCAGCAUGUGUGUUAGUGGAAGCGUCUGGAAAGGCGCGCGAUACAGGGUGACAGCCCCGUACACAAAAGCGCAUGUGCUGUGAGCUCGAUGAGUAGGGCGGGACACGUGGUAUCCUGUCUGAAUAUGGGGGGACCAUCCUCCAAGGCUAAAUACUCCUGACUGACCGAUAGUGAACCAGUACCGUGAGGGAAAGGCGAAAAGAACCCCGGCGAGGGGAGUGAAAAAGAACCUGAAACCGUGUACGUACAAGCAGUGGGAGCACAGGUUUACCUGUGUGACUGCGUACCUUUUGUAUAAUGGGUCAGCGACUUAUAUUCUGUAGCAAGGUUAACCGUAUAGGGGAGCCGUAGGGAAACCGAGUCUUAACCGGGCGUUAAGUUGCAGGGUAUAGACCCGAAACCCGGUGAUCUAGCCAUGGGCAGGUUGAAGGUUGGGUAACACUAACUGGAGGACCGAACCGACUAAUGUUGAAAAAUUAGCGGAUGACCUGUGGCUGGGGGUGAAAGGCCAAUCAAACCGGGAGAUAGCUGGUUCUCCCCGAAAGCUAUUUAGGUAGCGCCUCGUGAAUUCAUCUCCGGGGGUAGAGCACUGUUUCGGCUAGGGGGCCAUCCCGGCUUACCAACCCGAUGCAAACUGCGAAUACCGGAGAAUGUUAUCACGGGAGACACACGGCGGGUGCUAACGUCCGUCGUGAAGAGGGAAACAACCCAGACCGCCAGCUAAGGUCCCAAAGUCAUGGUUAAGUGGGAAACGAUGUGGGAAGGCCCAGACAGCCAGGAUGUUGGCUUAGAAGCAGCCAUCAUUUAAAGAAAGCGUAAUAGCUCACUGGUCGAGUCGGCCUGCGCGGAAGAUGUAACGGGGCUAAACCAUGCACCGAAGCUGCGGCAGCGAACGUAUCACUUAAAGCGAUUCAGCGGGUUACGAUUGACGGAGCGAAGCGACGUCAAAGCGUAUACAAAGUCGAGUCGGUUUAAGGAUACGUUCGUUGGGUAGGGGAGCGUUCUGUAAGCCUGUGAAGGUGGCCUGUGAGGGUUGCUGGAGGUAUCAGAAGUGCGAAUGCUGACAUAAGUAACGAUAAAGCGGGUGAAAAGCCCGCUCGCCGGAAGACCAAGGGUUCCUGUCCAACGUUAAUCGGGGCAGGGUGAGUCGACCCCUAAGGCGAGGCCGAAAGGCGUAGUCGAUGGGAAACGGGUUAAUAUUCCCGUACUUGGUGUUACUGCGAAGGGGGGACGGAGAAGGCUAUGUUGGCCGGGCGACGGUUGUCCCGGUUUAAGCGUGUAGGUGUGUGUUCCAGGUAAAUCCGGUUCACUUUAACACUGAGGCGUGAUGACGAGGCACUACGGUGCUGAAGCAACAAAUGCCCUGCUUCCAGGAAAAGCCUCUAAGCAUCAGGUAACAUCAAAUCGUACCCCAAACCGACACAGGUGGUCAGGUAGAGAAUACCAAGGCGCUUGAGAGAACUCGGGUGAAGGAACUAGGCAAAAUGGUGCCGUAACUUCGGGAGAAGGCACGCUGACACGUAGGUGAAGUGAUUUACUCAUGGAGCUGAAGUCAGUCGAAGAUACCAGCUGGCUGCAACUGUUUAUUAAAAACACAGCACUGUGCAAACACGAAAGUGGACGUAUACGGUGUGACGCCUGCCCGGUGCCGGAAGGUUAAUUGAUGGGGUCAGCGCAAGCGAAGCUCCUGAUCGAAGCCCCGGUAAACGGCGGCCGUAACUAUAACGGUCCUAAGGUAGCGAAAUUCCUUGUCGGGUAAGUUCCGACCUGCACGAAUGGCGUAAUGAUGGCCAGGCUGUCUCCACCCGAGACUCAGUGAAAUUGAACUCGCUGUGAAGAUGCAGUGUACCCGCGGCAAGACGGAAAGACCCCGUGAACCUUUACUAUAGCUUGACACUGAACAUUGAGCCUUGAUGUGUAGGAUAGGUGGGAGGCUU